This 301-nucleotide ribosomal RNA is filed under the name uncultured bacterium. RNAcentral's name for it is "partial 16S ribosomal RNA". It matches the Rfam family "Bacterial small subunit ribosomal RNA", at positions 509 to 807 of the family's 1533-position model. The record is from RNAcentral.
CAGCCGCCGCGGUAAUACGUAGGUGGCAAGCGUUAUCCGGAAUUAUUGGGCGUAAAGCGCGCGCAGGCGGUUUCUUAAGUCUGAUGUGAAAGCCCCCGGCUCAACCGGGGAGGGUCAUUGGAAACUGGGAAACUUGAGUGCAGAAGAGGAGAGUGGAAUUCCAUGUGUAGCGGUGAAAUGCGUAGAUAUAUGGAGGAACACCAGUGGCGAAGGCGGCUCUCUGGUCUGUAACUGACGCUGAGGCUCGAAAGCGUGGGGAGCGAACAGGAUUAGAUACCCCAGUAGUCCCUGUCUCUUAUAC